Molecule: RNA transcript, 1267 nt
Organism: Myotis lucifugus (little brown bat)
Lineage: Eukaryota; Metazoa; Chordata; Mammalia; Chiroptera; Vespertilionidae
Gene name: V-type proton ATPase subunit D pseudogene
Exons: 1
Source: RefSeq, a predicted model, not a curated record
AUGAAAGGAGCACAGACAGGUCGAAACCUCCUGAAGAAAAAAUCUGAUGCCCUAACUCUUCGAUUUCGACAGAUCCUAAAGAAGAUCAUAGAGACUAAAAUGUUGAUGGGUGAAGUGAUGAGAGAAGCUGCCUUUUCACUUGCUGAGGCCAAGUUCACAGCAGGGGACUUCAGCACCACAGUUAUUCAAAAUGUGAAUAACGCCCAAGUGAAGAUUCGAGCAAAGAAAGAUAAUGUGGCAGGUGUUACCUUGCCAAUAUUUGAACAUUACCAUGAAGGAACGGACAGUUAUGAACUGACUGGUUUAGCCAGAGGUGGGGAACAACUGGCUAAAUUAAAGAGGAACUACGCCAAAGCAGUGGAGCUACUGGUGGAACUCGCCUUGCUGCAGACUUCCUUUGUUACUUUGGAUGAAGCUAUUAAGAUAACCAACAGGCGUGUAAAUGCCAUUGAACAUGUCAUCAUUCCCAGGAUUGAACGCACCCUUGCUUAUAUCAUUGCAGAGCUGGAUGAGAGAGCGCGAGAAGAAUUCUAUAGGUUAAAGAAAAUACAUGAGAAGAAAAAGAUUCUCAAGGAAAAAACUGAGAGGGAAUUGGAGAAACGGAAGGUAGCUGGAGAGGUGAUGGAGCCUGCCAAUCUUCUGGCUGAAGAGAAGGAUGAGGAUCUUCUGUUUGAGUAAUCUUGCCUGCUCUGGUUCUUGCCUGCUCUGGUUCUUUCAGAAGUCCUGACGUGACAUCAUUUUAGUUCAGUGUGUAGGUUUGGUUCGUGUGGUUAGUUUUUGGUCUAAUUUCACUGGUUGUAAAACUUCCCUGGAUGUCCAUUUAUGGGAUUACUCUUGCAGAAUCCUAAUUUACCAACCAUUGAUCACAGAUGAGAUUUAGAGAACCUGCUUAGGAACUUGUAGAAUUUAUUCUGCAGAAGUGUCACCCUACCCCAAUUAUAAAUGGUUACAAGUGAUCAGCUUACCAAGCAUAUUAGGAAAUUCCCCGUAGGAACCACAGUGGUCUCAGGCCAAUACAAGGAGGCCAGCUACUGUAGGAGCACCCUCCAUUCCUACCCACACACACCCCUGGCGCUGCUGUCUGACAUAGCUGCAGCCAUCCUGUGUUUCUGUGGUACUUCUCCAGCUCUAGGAAAGCCUUCCCUUAAUUUACCUUGCAUGACAGGUCUCUGUUUGUUCUCUCUGUCAUGGAACAGUUGUGCCAAUUUGCAUGUGACUGUAGUAUAAACAGUAAAAUGAUUAAAAACAAAAACAAAAACCCACUGUC